Long non-coding RNA from Lagopus muta (rock ptarmigan), 981 nucleotides. RefSeq lists it as uncharacterized. The record is from RefSeq and is a predicted model, not a curated record. NCBI's taxonomy places the organism in Eukaryota, Metazoa, Chordata, Aves, Galliformes, Phasianidae. The transcript is spliced from 4 exons.
GUUAAACCGCAAUACACAGGCGUAAAAGUCACGCCUGAUGGACGUAAGGAGCUCAUUACUAAGUAGCAUUCUGUCUUCACAACUGUUUCUUUACUGGUCUCCGCCUUCCCUGAGUUUGAGGUGAACUUGCCAGGUUCACUUGAAGGCCUGCGAGAGGAUUUCCAGAAGAGGAACAAGACAGGAAAGCAGACAGGAGGGUGAGGCAUGUGCACUGGCUGAAGCAGCACAGCCCAUGUGAGCACAGCAUGCACAGGAACCUGGGAUGCUCUGAUCCAGAAAGACCAGGAACUGACAGAAACCCAAGGGAGAAUCAUGUACAUUAAAGCUUCCUCAGGAAUAUUAAUUGAUUUAACAUAGUGCCCUGGUUUCACCUGGUAGAGAGUUUUCACCAAGCAUUGAAGACCAUCUUUAAAUACUGCCUAUGUGGGGCAGUGAACAGGCAUUGCAGCUCCUUGCAUGGAAAUAAAGGUGUGAAGUCAGAUAAGUGACAUUAUGAUGAGGAUUCCGAGAUGAUUUCUUUUCAUACAUUCACUUUCUUUCUCCAUCAACUUGUUUUCAAUGUGAAUUUUGAAUGAACACACAUGAGGGAGGAUUUUCUGCUCAAGAGAAGUGGAAAUUUUUUGGCUACUUCUGUUGGCAAGUUAUGGGACAAAGCAGAGUGCCUGGGUAUCAUGGUGCUUUCACACCUUCUGUCUUCUGAACAUCUCAGUGAAAGCUCUGGGAAAUCUAAUUGAAUAUAAGAACAUCUUGAAUGGAUUAUCAAGUCACUAACAUGCCAAAUGGCCACCAGAGGAUUUAAUUUGUCAAUAAGCUGCACGAAUACCCAGGCCACCUCCAUCUGCUGCUGUGACAGAACACAAUUAACAGGAAAAUCCCAGUUCAAUCUUUGGAGACUUAAAGUGCUCACUCAAAUGCACUGAACAAGAGGAAUGCUUCAGCUCCAAUCAGCUCCUGUCUUCUUUGGAAAUGCUGGCCCUGAGG